GCAGAAAAUCUGGGAUCUGCUGCUGACAGAGCCACCCCCGAGGAGAUGGAGCCUCAGUGCUGGCAAUCAAAGCUGCUGCAACAACUGUUCCCUCUGCUCCACGAAGUUGCCUGGGGCCUGCCAAGGUGCCAGGCACAGAUCCAUCCCUCUGGAGUGCCCCAGCUGAGCAGGAAGAGUGGUGUGGAGGCAGCAGAUUCCUUUGGGAUCGCUGGGAUUUGGCUCAGCCCCGCGUGGCUGUGCCAGCCCAGCUGCACAGAGGCUGCAUCUGCAGGGAUCUCACAUCUGGGAUAACCUGGCUCAGGAAUCAGGCAGGUUGGAUUGUCCUGGCUCUAUUCCUUCCCAGGCACAGCCCUGACUCUUCCUGGCUUUGUGGGGAAGACAUUUCACCUUUCUUUGGGAGCCCUUUCCAUGGAGCCCAGCACAGAUCCAGCCCAUUUUGCCACGGAUCCUUUUUUCUUCCCAAGCUUGCUCCAGCUGUGAGCAGCUGCAGUGCUGGCUCUCAUCCCUCCAGCUGCCCUCCCCAAAGUCACAUCCCCUCACAGAUCCCAUUUCCCACCUGAUUGCCACAUUUAUCACACCUUUUUCUGCCAGAACCACAGGGGC
Molecule: long non-coding RNA, 603 nt
Filed under: Junco hyemalis (dark-eyed junco)
Lineage: Eukaryota; Metazoa; Chordata; Aves; Passeriformes; Passerellidae
Description: lncRNA (ENSJHYG00000016954.1)
Source: RNAcentral